CGGGAGGGAAAGCCCAGCUGCCAAAUAAAUCAUACCUUCCCGGCAGAGAGGUGUGAGAUGCUCAACAGGAACCUGAGCUGCCUGGAAGGGGAGAGACAGGGGAUCUUCUGCAGAGAUUUUUCAAGCUUGUCCAGGCGCCAGCAGGGCCAGAUCCUCUGCCGGAGCCUGUCGAUGUAAAUGCACCAGUUCCUGUGGAGUUUUUUUGCUCUAUUCCCAGUGAGGAUUUGGCCAGAGCCUGCGUGUGUGCUUCCCGAGUGAACAAUGGGCUGUGGGAAACCGUGGGCCAUCCUGUCUCCACUGUGUGUUGGCUGAAAAGAAAAUUUGCGCACCUGACCUGGCCCUGCUUAGCAACGUGACUGGGGAAGAGCCAUUUGCUACUCGUUAGGACAGCAGAGCUCUUCUGAUGGCUCGGAGCAAGGACGAAGAAUCCCAGAAAAGGACCUAAUUUGAAAGAGGCUGCAGUUCAGCGGCAGGAGGGAUUUAAACACUAUUAAGACUGACAUUUUCCCUCAUCUCACAUCCCGUGGGGUACCUGAUUGCAAAUUUAUAAUACACCAGAGGUCUUGCCAUCAGAAGAUACAGACUUACAGUAACAGCAACUAAUUUAAAAAAGAUCUCCAGCGCAUCAGUGUCUGGGGCUGGUUUACACAGACUAAUUAAUCCUUAUUUGACCUGAAUUAACUCUUAAUCUGUGUGAAAUGAAAGAGCUUUACUGGGAUACAGAAAAUUUUAAAAGAUGGAAAAUCCUUUCAGAACCAGGGGUUUCUGCAGCUGAGUGACUUGUGGAUUAAAAUACUUGUUGGCUGCUGCUGUGGAAAAUUAGCCGUUUCAUUUUUUUCUAUUCCGAGCCCCCUGUUACUAACCAGAAAAUAAAGGAGAGGGGCAGAAGAUUUUUUUGCCACCAGCAGUUGCUGUCCCUUGGUAAGCAGUGCAGAAGCAGAGCAGAACAGUUCUCCCUGCUGUUUCCUGCUGAUAUCUUGGGUUUAUCAAAGAGAUCUGCAGGAUGGCACAAGGGAGAAAGAUCAUUUUGGAGCAGAUCUUCCCCUUGAUGUCCCCAGAUUGCACAGUCUCCAGGUGAGAGAUGGCUUCUCUGCUUCUUGGGAGCAGUGGCCUUUAGCAAGGACUGCAGACGCGAGCGCUAGGUAAAUACGGAAGGAUCACAAUGGAUGCUCCCUAUGUAGCCUGCUCAAAAACGGGGAGAUGUCCCCACCCCAUAUCUUUGUGACAGGGGGACUCGUACGGUUGGAAAAAAACAAACUUUCAGGCUCGAAAGUUGCUCCAUCAGGUUUGAUAAAGGACAAGCUCCAUCAGAUAUCCUCUCACGCCUCAGAGGACUCUGCCAGAGCACAGGAUGAGCAAAUGGCUCGUCCAAGAUGAUCUCAAGAACAUGAAGGGAUGAACACAUCCAUGGCCACAGUACACCCUGAUGCAGGGGCUAACUGGGAUGUGCUGGGUUGGAAGUGGGAUUUGGAGACCAGAGCUGGAGCCAGGAUAACUCAAGACCACCCUGAAUGUGAGCAAACUUUCACUGCUGAGCCCUGGUGGGAUCUUGUUCAGCGUUUAUGGACAUGUUAAGGGCUAGCUGGGACUUUGGGAAGCUGUGGAAAAAAUGAAUGGCUGGAGAAGGUUGGACUUGCACAUGUAACCUGGUGUUUUGGUUAGAUUUUGUGGCAUGCUGUGCCGAAUGCUCCUGCUUGUGGAGACAGAGGCUCCCUCAGAGCUCAUCCCUGUUUCGCUCUUGUCUGUAUUUCACUGUGCAAAGAUGGUCAAGAGAUGCUUGGGGGAGAUCAGAAGGCUGCCUGUAAUGUAGCGAUGAGCCAAUUGGGCCAGGUGAGACGUCUCUCCCAGUGCCAGGACAGCAGCAACUUACCUUUCUCCUUUGUUCUUGGCACACCUUUUUUUCCGCCCCAACCCUGCUUACCUAUUAUUUACUCUAUUUGAAACUCCAGCCAAUAUAGGACCACCACGCCUUAUCUAAAUACGUAAAACAAAGGGCAGGAUCCUUAUCUCCAAUUCCUCAGGUGUGGACCUGUCCAAAAUCACCCAAGAUACCUGAGGCAGAAGCAUGGUGUGAGCCCCAGCCCCCUGCGUAGUAGGACCUUCCCUGCCAUCCCUGGUAACGUUGCUGUGAAUGCCGUUGUUAUUGCAUUAAACGUCCACUGCCCCAGCCACGGCAGAGAGGCGUUUCAAAAGAUGCUACCACAUUACGCAGAAUAAAUGUCACCCUCUCAAAUCAGCAAGCUGUCGAAGGCUUGAGGUAACCGUCUAAAGGUUAUCCGGUGCUGCUUGUAUAUCUAUUUUCAAUUACCCCCACUUGUUGGUUUUGAAGUAUUUAGUAUGGAAAAUAAAUCAUAGCUCAAUGUGCUGUUCCAUCAUUCAGUAAUGCCUGACGUGACAGUCUCGGAAGAUCACAAGAUUAUAGCGAUAAGGGUCUAGUUUUAAAAUGUUUACCAUUUCCCAGUUGGAUCUUUGACCUCGGCCUGCAUUAAUGUUGUGCCAUUUUUAGGUCUAAUGCCAAUCUCUGUCUUGCAACAUAUCAUCAUUUUAAUGCCUGAUUUACACUCUGAAUUAUGGUAAUUUAUUGUAAUAGUGUGAUUUGACCUUUUCAGUAUUUCCUGUUUUUAUUGGCUAGAUGUAUCGUCCCUUUCCCCAGAGGUUAGCAGGACUUUGGGGGGUGCGGAGGAGGCAGGUGAGCCUAUCAAAGGACACGAUGCUGAAAAGGGCAAAAUGCAAGAGCAUCCUGCUAAUUCAUGGACUGGGGAACGCAUGGAAACUUAAAGGUGAUAUUUGUGACCAACCCUGCGCCAAGAACAGAGAUGACAUGUUGUCAGCCUUUGAGAUGAAAGGGCAUCUUCAGGAACGGCUGAAGCGAUGUCCAUGAACCUCCACGUGCAAAGCAGGGCUCUGGAAAGGCUUGUUGUGUCUUCACGGUGCCAGCCUGCAUCUCGCCAGCAUGGAGGUUGCUGUCACAGUUUGAAGCUGGUAUUUAUGGUUCCAGCACAGUGAAAUGCCCUUGAAAGUGGAUGGGUCUGGUUUUAGAGGAAAUCUGCUUUGGGAAUUGGAGUGUGCCCUGACGAGGGAGCAGAUAUGUAAAAGGCCAAGAUGGAAAGUGAAAAUAUAAUCCAAAUUGUUUCUUUUUUUUAUUGCCCUCUGCCCAGAAACACUACUUCUCUAAGGUAGGAUUUGCAGGCAUACAAUGAGAAAAGAAAGUGAUAGCUUACUAUUAAAAAAAAAAAGAAAAGAAAGAAAAAGAAAACCCAGAAACACUAAAAUAAUCCCCUACAACAAAAAGCUUUGAUAAAAGCAAAGCUGAGCCUGAGGGUGAUGCUGCUUUUUCACCCUGUUCUUCAGUAUUGAGUUGGUUCCAGAGGACCCAGCCUUUCCUUUCUGUUUUG
This is a long non-coding RNA of Gymnogyps californianus (California condor), 3395 nucleotides long. RefSeq lists it as uncharacterized. The record is from RefSeq and is a predicted model, not a curated record. The transcript has 3 exons. NCBI's taxonomy places the organism in Eukaryota, Metazoa, Chordata, Aves, Accipitriformes, Cathartidae.